UUCCAUCCUGUGCCUUGUCUGAGUAUGCUUCUAUUUAUACUGGUUAGAUAAUACCAGUAAGUUUACAAUCAGAACUUUUCUUUUUUCUUGCAGAAUGGAUUAAUCAUUAUCUUUCUGGCUACAUUAGUUUUUUUUUUUUUUUCUUCCUGGUAAAAAUGGAUAAAAUGUUCCUGUCACCCUGAUCGAGAAGAAAGGCAAAAAGAGAAACCACAAAGGUGGAGAACCAUGUUCCUGACACAAAAACUGCUGCGUGGUACUUAAAGGACAUUUUCUGUUUUAUUUAUUGAACCUGCUGCUGGGGAACUCAAAAAAUGUGGAGGAAGAGAAAAACCAGUUGGACACCCACUGUUGGGAAGAGCGAAGGCAGGUGUCUGCCAUGUUCUGCUGGCUGUAGACCAGGAGCUGCAGCACGGUAAGUGCGGUACCAUUCGCCACUCGGGGAACGCUGGCGGGGUUUAGGUGGCAGUCUGCAGGUGAGUCAGCUGUGAGAUCUUUUGCAGUCUGAAUUGCUUUUAGACGUAAGAGAAGCAUGGUUUGUACAACAAAGAGUCGCUGGAGGCUCAGGAUGCUGAGAAACAGAGUCAUAGGAGCUUGGUGACAAUUAGGAGUUUACGCUACUCCUAAUUAUGUGGGUUUGAACUGCAUCUCCAGAUGCACUAGAAUCCCGUCUCACCAAAAUCUCCUGCAAACUUCAUUGACUCAAUUUAAGAAUGAAACUGUUGUACAGUUCUCUCAUUCCUCAAACCUGUUUAAUGCAGUCCGUUUUUGAAGGAACACAUCUCCACUCUGAUUUAUUUUAAAACAGCUUUUAGAACUUGUCAUCCUUGUGAUGAAGUGUUAGGUCUUGUUGCCAGGGUGCCAUUAAAAACUGAAUUUCUGACGUUUAAAAGUCUCACUUAUCCCAAGUGUCACAAUUUGACAGCUCUGCGUGUCACAUUACAGCACAGUAUUUUGGAUCCAUUUCCUCUGUCGG
This is a long non-coding RNA of Cygnus olor (mute swan), 973 nucleotides long. RefSeq lists it as uncharacterized. The transcript is spliced from 4 exons. The record is from RefSeq and is a predicted model, not a curated record. NCBI's taxonomy places the organism in Eukaryota, Metazoa, Chordata, Aves, Anseriformes, Anatidae.